This is a long non-coding RNA of Entelurus aequoreus (snake pipefish), 1407 nucleotides long. RefSeq lists it as uncharacterized. The record is from RefSeq and is a predicted model, not a curated record. The transcript is spliced from 5 exons. NCBI's taxonomy places the organism in Eukaryota, Metazoa, Chordata, Actinopteri, Syngnathiformes, Syngnathidae.
GCGAAAUGCUUUAGCUACGAGCUAACGUGAUAGCAUCGUGCUUUAACUGCAUAUAGAAACAAAAAAAUAAAGGAUAGAAGGAAGGAUAGAUAGAAAAUCAACAAUACUAUUAAACCGUGGACAUGUAAAUACACGGUUAAUGCUUUCCAGGCUGGCGAAGGUUAACAAUGCUGUGCUAACGACGCCAUUGAAGCUAACUUAGCAACUUAGCAACGGGACCUCACAGAGCUAUGCUAAAAACAUUAGCUCUCCACCUACGCCAGCCAGCCCUCAUCUACUCAUCAACACCCGUGCUCACCUGCGUUCCAGCGAUCGGCAGAAGGACGAAGGACUUCACCCGAUGCGUUUGGCGGCCCGGAGACGUAGGAAGUCAAGUUUUACAGUAAUUUCAUUUGGAGACUAAACAAUCCCAACCUGGAAGGGUUGGCAAUGGAGAUGGUGUUUGGCCAGUAGAUACCUAGGAGGCGACGGAGGCAGCGGUUGAAGAAUGUCUGUAUUUUGUUGAGUAUGUUGGCGGUGAUCUUCCAGGUUUCUGAACUGUAAAAUUUUAUUUAGGAUCGUGAAUGUGGUCCUUGCUUUUCCAAUUCUGGCACGGACAUCCUCCUCCGUUCCUCCGUCCACAGCAAUUAUGCUUCCUAGGUGAUUUCCUCCACAUCCUGGUCUCGGUACAAGAGCGGCUUCUUGGACGUGAGGUUGCAACUCUUCUCCUCGUUACCCGCCUUGGUGAGCGACGCCGUUUGAAGCUCUUGCAGAGAGAUAAUGGAAAGCUGACGACCCCUGGGAAGGCUUUCUGUCGAUAGUUGUCAUGGUUAUCUUUCACUGGGCCACUUUACCUGCCGGCGUCCCAGGUUGGCAGAUGUCGGCCCCGCUCACGGUCACCACGGUGGAGGCCGCCGUUUGUCUGGGCUCCUCGUCGGUGACGAUUCGCAGCCUGGCGCUCUCGAAAACAGACUUGAUGACGAUGGAGUCCUCGUAGAUCUGCGGAAGCAAAGAGAGAGCAGGUGUUUAUUUAGGGCAGACGGCACCAUUGUUGGGCCGUGAUUGCCCCCUAGAGGUUCUCAAAAAAAAUCAGAUUCUCAGCUGUGGUCCAAUGGGCCGCAGCGGUGCUCAGUUGUAAUACACUUUUCCAUCACUUGUGGCGGUAAUGACAAUAUUAAACAAACAGAAUAAGUCUGGAGCUAAAGUCAGAGAAGUUUCUUCAGCGCAAAAAAUAUGACUAAAGUGGUGAAUCUGCAUUUUUAUUUGCACUUUAAUUUUAUUGGCAGUUAAGAAAAAUUUAUUAAUAUAGUUUCUUUAUUUUAGCACAAUGUAAUUGUACGUACAUUUAUUUUUUGUCAGUUAUUCAUGAGCCCCUUCUUAUGCAGUAUAUUUGGUUUGUACGUAUUUUUCUAAUCAGCCUGACCUAAC